UACGGAGGGUGCGAGCGUUGUCCGGAAUCACUGGGCGUAAAGGGCGCGUAGGCGGUCUGCUAAGCGUGCGGUGAAAGCCUGGGGCUCAACCCCAGGUCUGCCGUGCGAACUGGUGGACUGGAGCACUGUAGAGGCAGGUGGAAUUCCGGGUGUAGCGGUGGAAUGCGUAGAGAUGCGGAGGAACACCGAUGGCGAAGGCAGCCCCCUGGGCUGACACUGACGCUCAGGCACGAAAGCGUGGGGAGCAAACAGG
This 253-nucleotide ribosomal RNA is filed under the name uncultured bacterium. RNAcentral's name for it is "partial 16S ribosomal RNA". It matches the Rfam family "Bacterial small subunit ribosomal RNA", at positions 524 to 776 of the family's 1533-position model. The record is from RNAcentral.